Non-coding RNA from Phrynosoma platyrhinos (Desert horned lizard), 72 nucleotides. NCBI's taxonomy places the organism in Eukaryota, Metazoa, Chordata, Lepidosauria, Squamata, Phrynosomatidae. The record is from the annotation of a GenBank genome assembly.
GUAAGUGUGGUGUAGUGGUUUGAGCAUUCGACUAAGACUUUAGAGACCAGGGUUCGAUUCCCAGCUCAGCCA